UGGCCCGUUGGUCAAGCGGUUAAGACACCGCCCUUUCACGGCGGUAACACGGGUUCGAAUCCCGUACGGGUCACCAU
RNAcentral lists this transfer RNA (77 nucleotides) under Bacillus pumilus ATCC 7061. Its description in RNAcentral is "tRNA-Glu". It matches the Rfam family "tRNA". Rfam says of the family: Transfer RNA (tRNA) molecules are approximately 80 nucleotides in length. Their secondary structure includes four short double-helical elements and three loops (D, anti-codon, and T loops). The record is from RNAcentral. Lineage: Bacteria; Bacillati; Bacillota; Bacilli; Caryophanales; Bacillaceae.